UAACACCAGCGCCACAAGUGGCAACCGCUUUUAUUGGGCCUAAAGCGUCCGUAGCCGGUUCAGUAAAUUUCCUGUGAAAUCGUUAGGCUUAACCUAACGUUGUGCAGGAAAGACUACUGUACUAGGGACCGGGAGGCGUCAGAGGUAUUCUUGAGGGAGCGGUAAAAUGCUAUAAUCUCGGGAGGACCACCGAUGGCGAAGGCAUCUGACGAGAACGGAUCCGACGGUGAGGGACGAAAGCUAGGGGAGCAAACCGGAUUAGAUACCCGAGUAGUCCUAGCUGUAAACGCUGCGAGCUAGGUGUUACGUAUUCUUCGGGAAUACGUAGUGUCGAAGCGAAGGUGUUAAGCUCGCCGCCUGGGAAGUAUGGUCGCAAGACUG
This 381-nucleotide ribosomal RNA is filed under the name uncultured archaeon. RNAcentral describes it as "bacterial SSU rRNA". It matches the Rfam family "Archaeal small subunit ribosomal RNA", at positions 471 to 851 of the family's 1478-position model. The record is from RNAcentral.